This is a long non-coding RNA of Arachis duranensis, 326 nucleotides long. RefSeq lists it as uncharacterized. Lineage: Eukaryota; Viridiplantae; Streptophyta; Magnoliopsida; Fabales; Fabaceae. The record is from RefSeq and is a predicted model, not a curated record. The transcript is spliced from 3 exons.
UCUGUGCAGCUCAGACCAAGAACGGGGCAUCCUCUACAAACUGCACUACUCUUGCAAAGUUAAGUUCUCAUUAAAGGAGAAAGCUAAAGAUGAGGAGUUUGAAGAUGAAUUUUUCCACAAGGUAUUGAAGAAAAGAAGAACCAACAUGAAAGACACAGCGGAAACGAAAAGAUAAGUUUUAGAUACUUGAACAUGACAAAAUGAUUAUUCUGCACCUUGUCUCUAAACAUGUAUCAUUUUUGCAUUUGAUUACUGAUUAUUUUCCAUCAUACAGUUGUGCUCGUCAUCCUUCUGUUUUCCAUUGCGAGCUCAGCAGCUUGCACCUC